Molecule: ribosomal RNA, 465 nt
Filed under: Vreelandella stevensii
Lineage: Bacteria; Pseudomonadati; Pseudomonadota; Gammaproteobacteria; Oceanospirillales; Halomonadaceae
Description: partial 16S ribosomal RNA
Rfam family: Bacterial small subunit ribosomal RNA
Source: RNAcentral
CCUACGGGGGGCUGCAGUGGGGAAUAUUGGACAAUGGGCGAAAGCCUGAUCCAGCCAUGCCGCGUGUGUGAAGAAGGCCUUCGGGUUGUAAAGCACUUUCAGUGGGGAAGAAAGCCUUGGGGCUAAUACCCUCGAGGAAGGACAUCACCCACAGAAGAAGCACCGGCUAACUCCGUGCCAGCAGCCGCGGUAAUACGGAGGGUGCGAGCGUUAAUCGGAAUUACUGGGCGUAAAGCGCGCGUAGGCGGUCUGAUAAGCCGGUUGUGAAAGCCCCGGGCUCAACCUGGGAACGGCAUCCGGAACUGUCAGGCUAGAGUGCAGGAGAGGAAGGUAGAAUUCCCGGUGUAGCGGUGAAAUGCGUAGAGAUCGGGAGGAAUACCAGUGGCGAAGGCGGCCUUCUGGACUGACACUGACGCUGAGGUGCGAAAGCGUGGGUAGCAAACAGGAUUAGAUACCCUGGUAGUC